RNAcentral lists this ribosomal RNA (445 nucleotides) under uncultured bacterium. Its description in RNAcentral is "bacterial SSU rRNA". It matches the Rfam family "Bacterial small subunit ribosomal RNA", at positions 354 to 796 of the family's 1533-position model. The record is from RNAcentral.
GUAAGGAAUAUUGGACAAUGCCCGCAAGGGUGAUCCAGCCAUGCCGCGUGCAGGAAGAAGGACCUAUGGUUUGUAAACUGCUUUUGAACAAGAGAAAACCCCUCUACGUGUAGAGGGCUGAUAGUAUUGUUAGAAUAAGCAUCGGCUAACUUCGUGCCAGCAGCCGCGGUAAGACGAAGGAUGCAAGCGUUAUCCGGAUUCAUUGGGUUUAAAGGGAGCGUAGGUGGCUUUGUAAGUCAGUGGUGAAAGCCGGUCGCUUAACGAUCGAACUGCCAUUGAUACUGCAGAGCUUGAGUACAGUUGCCGUUGGCGGAAUAUGACAUGUAGUGGUGAAAUACAUAGAGAUGUCAUAGAACACCGAUUGCGAAGGCAGCUAACGAAACUGUAACUGACACUGAGGCUCGAAAGUGCGGGGAUCAAACAGGAUUAGAUACCCCAGUAGUCC